Long non-coding RNA from Homarus americanus (American lobster), 519 nucleotides. RefSeq lists it as uncharacterized. The transcript has 3 exons. The record is from RefSeq and is a predicted model, not a curated record. Lineage: Eukaryota; Metazoa; Arthropoda; Malacostraca; Decapoda; Nephropidae.
UGAUGUUAUAUUAACUGGUGUAUAGCAGGGUAAGUGAUGUUAUAUUAACUGGUGUAUAGCAGGGUAAGUGAUGUUAUAUUAACUGUGUAUAGCAGGGUAAGUGAUGUUAUAUUAACUGGUAUAGCAGGGUAAGUGAUGUUAUAUUAACUGGUGUAUAGCAGGGUAAGUGAUGUUAUAUUAACUGUGUAUAGCAGGGUAAGUGAUGUUAUAUUAACUGUGUAUAGCAGGGUAAGUGAUGUUAUAUUAACUGUGUAUAGCAGGGUAAGUGAUGAUAUAUUAACUGGUGUAUACAGGGUAAGUGAUGUUAUAUUAACUGGUGUAUAGCAGGUAAGUGAUGUUAUAUUAACUGGUGUAUAGCAGGGUAAGUGAUGUUAUAUUAACUGUGUAUAGCAGGGUAAGUGAUGUUAUAUUAACUGGUGUAUAGCAGGGUAAGUGAUGUUAUAUUAACUGGUGUAUAGCAGGGUAAGUGAUGUUAUAUUAACUGGUGUAUAGCGGGGUAAGUGAUGUUAUAUUAACUGG